GCCAGGGUGGCUCAGUGGUUGAGCACCUGCCUUCAGUGCAAGGCAUGAUCCCGGAGUCGUGGGAUCAAGUCCCACAUUGGGCU
RNAcentral lists this transfer RNA (83 nucleotides) under Canis lupus familiaris (dog). It matches the Rfam family "tRNA". From Rfam's summary of the family: Transfer RNA (tRNA) molecules are approximately 80 nucleotides in length. Their secondary structure includes four short double-helical elements and three loops (D, anti-codon, and T loops). Lineage: Eukaryota; Metazoa; Chordata; Mammalia; Carnivora; Canidae. RNAcentral also lists the same sequence under 1 other name. The record is from Rfam by way of RNAcentral.